AGGACCAAAGAAAGGUUCCAGCAGGUAUUAUUAUUUUUAUGUUAUUUGUUUUCUGGAAUUAUGGACAAUGCUUGCAUUUGAUUAGUUUAGAUUUUUUGGAAAAAUAAUAAGAAAUAAGUAAAUAAAUAAUGAAAAGAAUAACAUGUUCAAGUUUAUAACUAACUGAGAUGGAGGAGCUAAACUACUGGAUUAUUAGGCAUUGACCAUAAAAACAAAUUUACAUGCAUGAAAAAGGAGAAAGAAGCCUAGUAUAGUCUAACUUAUGGAGGAUAUUUUUUGCAACUUAGAUUUUGUGUCUAUCAUAGAGGUACUAGUGAUGCACUUGUUUCUAAUUUAAUACCCAAAAAAAAUGUUUAUGGUUCUCCUUGCAAUAGUGUGGGCUUGGGGCUGACACUGGUGUGCAAAAGGAUGUGUUUGUGUUUGUGUGUGUGU
RNAcentral lists this unclassified non-coding RNA (432 nucleotides) under Hevea brasiliensis (rubber tree). Lineage: Eukaryota; Viridiplantae; Streptophyta; Magnoliopsida; Malpighiales; Euphorbiaceae. The record is from RNAcentral.